GCCGGAGGAUGCAAGUGUUAUCCGGAAUCGCUGGGCGUAAAGCGUCUGUAGGGGGUCAAAUAAGUCAACUGUUAAAUCUUGAGGCUCAACCUCAAAAUCGCAGUCGAAACUAUUAGACUAGAGUAUAGUAGGGGUAAAGGGAAUUUCCAGUGGAGCGGUGAAAUGCGUAGAGAUUGGAAAGAACACCGAUGGCGAAGGCACUUUACUGGGCUAUUACUAACACUCAGAGACGAAAGCUAGGGUAGCAAAUGGG
This 253-nucleotide ribosomal RNA is filed under the name uncultured bacterium. RNAcentral's name for it is "partial 16S ribosomal RNA". It matches the Rfam family "Bacterial small subunit ribosomal RNA", at positions 524 to 776 of the family's 1533-position model. The record is from RNAcentral.